RNAcentral lists this long non-coding RNA (352 nucleotides) under Elaeis guineensis (African oil palm). RNAcentral describes it as "long non-coding RNA (EGUI_LNC077801)". The record is from RNAcentral. Lineage: Eukaryota; Viridiplantae; Streptophyta; Magnoliopsida; Arecales; Arecaceae.
GUGGAUUAUUAUCAUGCAAUUCAUUGUAAGUUGGAUCGUGUUUGAAGCAACAGGUUCUGUUACUUCUGUAACCAACCGAUAGUUCUAGUCAAUGCUCUAACAAAUCUGUCACCAAAAAAUGCUCUAAUAAAUUUCCAUCAUAUUCCUCAGAAGUUACAAAAUUUCCAUGAGCCUAAAGUUUGCAUCCAUAUGCUCUACCUUGUUUCAAGUUUCAGGUGCUCCCAUUUGCCCUUGGAAUAAACGGGUUUGAACUGAUACUCGUUCCAUCCAAUUUCAGCCAUUUGUUUUACUUAUCCAUAGGUAAAUGUAGGCAUUUCAAGGACAAAUUUGACAAUAAUGGUGGUUAAGAGUC